This 483-nucleotide ribosomal RNA is filed under the name uncultured bacterium. RNAcentral describes it as "partial 16S ribosomal RNA". It matches the Rfam family "Bacterial small subunit ribosomal RNA", at positions 29 to 507 of the family's 1533-position model. The record is from RNAcentral.
GUGAACGCUGGCGGCAGGCCUAACACAUGCAAGUCGAGCGGCAGCGCGGGGGCAACCCUGGCGGCGAGCGGCGGACGGGUGAGGAAUUCGUCGGAAUCUGCCUUUUUGUGGGGGAUAACGUAGGGAAACUUACGCUAAUACCGCAUACGUCCUACGGGAGAAAGUGGGGGACCGCAAGGCCUCACGCAGAAAGAUGAGCCGACGACCGAUUAGCUAGUUGGUGGGGUAAAGGCCCACCAAGGCGACGAUCGGUAGCUGGUCUGAGAGGAUGAUCAGCCACACUGGGACUGAGACACGGCCCAGACUCCUACGGGAGGCAGCAGUGGGGAAUAUUGGACAAAGGGCGCAAGCCUGAUCCAGCCAUGCCGCGUGUGUGAAGAAGGCCUUCGGGUUGUAAAGCACUUUUGUCCGGAAAGAAAUCCCUGGAGCUAAUACCUUCGGGGGAUGACGGUACCGGAAGAAUAAGCACCGGCUAACUUCGUG